Molecule: long non-coding RNA, 961 nt
Organism: Homarus americanus (American lobster)
Lineage: Eukaryota; Metazoa; Arthropoda; Malacostraca; Decapoda; Nephropidae
Exons: 2
Source: RefSeq, a predicted model, not a curated record
GCCAGUUCAGUCAACGAGACAAAGAGCUCACACACUGCAUUACUGUUAAUAAUAAAUCAUCGCACUCUACCACCUCCAUUGCUGCAGCGGGAGAAGAGGCAGGAGACAACAGACCCACAUAUCUUACCUGAAGCAUGAGACGCCUGGUGGUUAUAGUGGCUGUAUUAUUGGUGAUGGCUCGGCUGGGUGAAAAUCGCCGCUUGGAGCAGUCAGCCGUAGACGUCCACAACCACGACUACAUGGAAGAUAGUUUAACAGUCAAUGACAACUUGUUUUCACGACUCUUGAGGAAUGGCAUAUCCUACAUGCCAGUGAAGUGUAACGAGUGUGAGGCGUUGAGAAACGGUCGGUGUUACGAAGUAUCAGGCUGCCAAACUAGUCCUAUUUCGUUCCUCAAGUUCCUCCAGAAUUCACACGCUAUUCUCGUGUGAAUUCUGAAGAAUGAAAGAUCACUGCCUGUAUGAUGAGCGCCUGUCACACUCUUAAGUCAAAUAUGGAAAAUGAACAUUAAAUUACUGAUAUUUAUGUUGUGUUUAACUCAGUUGUGUGAUUAACCCCAUCUGUAUUAAUUAACUUAGUUGAAUGAUAACUAAGUCAAAGGUAUGAUUAUUUAGUUUAGUUAAAUGAUAAAUUAACUCUGCUGUAACAUUAGUCAACUCAACUCUAUGGCAUAUUAACUCACCUCUAUGGGUAUUUUACUGAAUCGUUUGAGUAGAUGAAUCUAUUAUAAUAACUCAUUUCAGUGAUCAGUUGACGAGGACUUAGAUUACCAUGAUUAAUUAUAUAUCUGUUUGUAAAAUAUAUUCACUGGUCUUUGUUUUGUAUCUAAUUAACUCACUUGUAUGAUCAGUUCCAUAGUUGUGUCAAGAUAUUGUACAAUAAGAUCGGUUCACUAAGUUGUAUUACCAAGUGCAUAAUUUGUUCGGGCACUUGUAUUACUAAAAUACAUUGUACGAUUUGC